CCUACGGGGCGCUGCAGUGGGGAAUAUUGGACAAUGGGCGAAAGCCUGAUCCAGCCAUGCCGCGUGUGUGAAGAAGGCCUUCGGGUUGUAAAGCACUUUCAGUGGGGAAGAAAGCCUUGGGGCUAAUACCCUCGAGGAAGGACAUCACCCACAGAAGAAGCACCGGCUAACUCCGUGCCAGCAGCCGCGGUAAUACGGAGGGUGCGAGCGUUAAUCGGAAUUACUGGGCGUAAAGCGCGCGUAGGCGGUCUGAUAAGCCGGUUGUGAAAGCCCCGGGCUCAACCUGGGAACGGCAUCCGGAACUGGCAGGCUAGAGUGCAGGAGAGGAAGGUAGAAUUCCCGGUGUAGCGGUGAAAUGCGUAGAGAUCGGGAGGAAUACCAGUGGCGAAGGCGGCCUUCUGGACUGACACUGACGCUGAGGUGCGAAAGCGUGGGUAGCAAACAGGAUUAGAUACCCUAGUAGUC
RNAcentral lists this ribosomal RNA (465 nucleotides) under Vreelandella stevensii. Its description in RNAcentral is "partial 16S ribosomal RNA". It matches the Rfam family "Bacterial small subunit ribosomal RNA", at positions 338 to 795 of the family's 1533-position model. Lineage: Bacteria; Pseudomonadati; Pseudomonadota; Gammaproteobacteria; Oceanospirillales; Halomonadaceae. The record is from RNAcentral.